CAACGACACCGCUGCACUGCUAUCUCCAACAGCUGCAACAACAACGCCUUCACUGGCAACUCCACCAGAACCGGCGGCCUCGCCAACGACAUUGGUGAAUGAGGAUCAGCUGCCCCGGCUGGCGACUGAAGUAGCGGUGGUAGCCUUGCCACCAGCAUUGGUGAGUGAGGAUCAGCUGCCCCGGCUGGCGACUGAAGCAGUAGUGGCGCCAUCGACAGGAUCAUUCAUCGACAGCAUCACCC
This 242-nucleotide long non-coding RNA is filed under the name Setaria italica (foxtail millet). RNAcentral's name for it is "long non-coding RNA (SITA_LNC002047)". Lineage: Eukaryota; Viridiplantae; Streptophyta; Magnoliopsida; Poales; Poaceae. The record is from RNAcentral.